Rhagoletis zephyria (snowberry fruit fly) is the source of this 72-nucleotide non-coding RNA. The record is from the annotation of a RefSeq genome assembly. NCBI's taxonomy places the organism in Eukaryota, Metazoa, Arthropoda, Insecta, Diptera, Tephritidae.
AGUUGGUUAGUGUAGUGGUUAUCACACUGGACUCUGAAUCCAGUAACCGGAGUUCGACUCUCCGACCGACUA